GGUCCUAUGGGGUAGUGGUUAUCCCACCGGAUUUUGAUGAACAAUAUACAUGUCCUGUAUAUGUGUAGGAAGAUCGAAGCUUCCGGUAACGCCGGUUCGAAUCCGGCUAGGACCU
This is a non-coding RNA of Aspergillus flavus NRRL3357, 115 nucleotides long. The record is from Rfam. Lineage: Eukaryota; Fungi; Ascomycota; Eurotiomycetes; Eurotiales; Aspergillaceae.